GAUGAACGCUGGCGGCGUGCCUAAUACAUGCAAGUCGAGCGAACAGACGAGGAGCUUGCCUCUCUGACGUUAGCGGCGGACGGGUGAGUAACACGUGGAUAACCUACCUAUAAGACUGGGAUAACUUCGGGAAACCGGAGCUAAUACCGGAUAAUAUAUUGAACCGCAUGGUUCAAUAGUGAAAGACGGUUUUGCUGUCACUUAUAGAUGGAUCCGCGCUGCAUUAGCUAGUUGGUAAGGUAACGGCUUACCAAGGCAACGAUGCGUAGCCGACCUGAGAGGGUGAUCGGCCACACUGGAACUGAGACACGGUCCAGACUCCUACGGGAGGCAGCAGUAGGGAAUCUUCCGCAAUGGGCGAAAGCCUGACGGAGCAACGCCGCGUGAGUGAUGAAGGUCUUCGGAUCGUAAAACUCUGUUAUUAGGGAAGAACAGAUGUGUAAGUAACUGUGCACGUCUUGACGGUACCUAAUCAGAAAGCCACGGCUAACUACGUG
Molecule: ribosomal RNA, 497 nt
Filed under: uncultured bacterium
Lineage: Bacteria
Description: partial 16S ribosomal RNA
Rfam family: Bacterial small subunit ribosomal RNA
Source: RNAcentral